This 1190-nucleotide long non-coding RNA is filed under the name Neogobius melanostomus (round goby). RNAcentral's name for it is "lncRNA (ENSNMLG00000020993.1)". Lineage: Eukaryota; Metazoa; Chordata; Actinopteri; Gobiiformes; Gobiidae. The record is from RNAcentral.
ACCUGUGGUAUAUUUAGUGGGUUUUUACCUGUGUUGUUCCAUCUGGCACUGCUGACCGCACUGUUCUGCUGUAGACUGCAGACAUGAGGACACUAUGGGCCUGGUGUUUCUGUCUGCUCACCCUCUGCACAGUUUGUAGCAGCACGCAAGAUGACUGGAAUGCAGUAGUCCAUCAGCACGGCAUACUGAGUUUCCAUUCAAAUGAAAACCGUCAGGAGUUGAUUAAGAAUUUCAUUCAGAAGUCACUGAUCACCAUAGCUGAAGAGGUUCAAAAGGAAAGCAAUGAAGUAGAGUCUGCGGCGCAAACGGGUCAGCAGUCAGUCACUGUGACUGUCCACCCCACGAUGAGAAAUGGAGCCCACCUACUUUAUAAUCUAAUAUCAACAUUCGGGUUGUCUAAUCAGAGUACUGACUUUGGAAUAUUUUGAAAUUGUCAUUUUUAUGUAGAAAUAUGGCAUGUAAUUACAAAAUGAAGACUAUGAUUGGCACACCUGUUAUGAACUCGCUUAGCGUAAAUUAGGAACGCUUUAACUUUCUUGGCAAAUGGUGCAGCAGAUGCAGAAUCAUGUGCAGUGUUUGUAUGAACUGUGGCAUAAGGCAUUUUAAUUUAUUUUAGAGGGAAAAAUGGGUCAACAUUAAGAGUAUUUAAAUUUGGCAUCCAUCAAAAAUGUUGUCAUUUUUGCUCCAAGUCUGUUAACUAGGAAAUGAUCUUACUAAAAUCAACUAUUUCAAUGAUGUUUCAGCCCCACAUUAAAUAAGAUUUUUUAAAUGUCUUGCACCUUAAUUAUAAAUGCUAGCUACAUUUAACUCUACUGUUUUUGGACCAUGUGUUGAAUAAACAGAGCUCCUGGCUCGGUCAGUGCUGUGGGUGCAUCCACUUCAGUCUUCAAGCCUUCAGCAGUAAAACGCACACUUCGAACAAAUAUGCAGAGUCUUUUCCUCGGACUUCAGCGCUUUGUAGUAAAAUACAGAUUGCUUGUUACCAGCCCGCACCUGUCACUACCUUUUCCCAAAGAUGCUCACGAGCCGCUGCAGAGGGACGGAGAAGGGGACAGUGGACUCUCAGAGCGGGGGAUGUACAGGGAAAGUGUCUAUGACAGGGAGACAUGUGUGACUGUUAAUAAGCCUCUAUCGUUAUCAACUAUUCUCCGGUCGGUUUAUUUUGAGCAGACGGUGAUCACAUCACUCGU